GACGAACGCUGGCGGCGUGCUUAACACAUGCAAGUCGAACGGAAAGGCCCCUUUGGGGGUACUCGAGUGGCGAACGGGUGAGUAACACGUGAGUAACCUGCCCUUGACUUCGGGAUAACUUCAGGAAACUGGGGCUAAUACCGGAUAGGAAUCCUUGCUGCAUGGUGGGGGUUGGAAAGCUUCGGCGGUUUUGGAUGGACUCGCGGCUUAUCAGCUUGUUGGUGGGGUAGUGGCUUACCAAGGCUUUGACGGGUAGCCGGCCUGAGAGGGCGACCGGCCACAUUGGGACUGAAAUACGGCCCAGACUCCUACGGGAGGCAGCAGUGGGGAAUAUUGCACAAUGGGCGGAAGCCUGAUGCAGCAACGCCGCGUGCGGGAUGACGGCCUUCGGGUUGUAAACCGCUUUCAGCAGGGGCGAAGCUUGUGGUGACGGUACCUACAGAAGAAGCACCGGCUAACUACGUG
RNAcentral lists this ribosomal RNA (465 nucleotides) under uncultured bacterium. RNAcentral's name for it is "partial 16S ribosomal RNA". It matches the Rfam family "Bacterial small subunit ribosomal RNA", at positions 28 to 507 of the family's 1533-position model. The record is from RNAcentral.